UACGUAGGUGGCAAGCGUUGUCCGGAUUUACUGGGUGUAAAGGGCGUGUAGGCGGGUUUUUAAGUCAGAUGUGAAAUACCGGGGCUCAACUCCGGGGCUGCAUCUGAAACUGGAGAUCUUGAGUACUGGAGGGGAAAGUGGAAUUCCUAGUGUAGCGGUGAAAUGCGUAGAGAUUAGGAGGAACACCAGUGGCGAAGGCGGCUUUCUGGACAGUAACUGACGCUGAGGCGCGAAAGCGUGGGGAGCAAAC
Molecule: ribosomal RNA, 250 nt
Filed under: uncultured bacterium
Lineage: Bacteria
Description: partial 16S ribosomal RNA
Rfam family: Bacterial small subunit ribosomal RNA
Source: RNAcentral